RNAcentral lists this ribosomal RNA (465 nucleotides) under Vreelandella stevensii. RNAcentral's name for it is "partial 16S ribosomal RNA". It matches the Rfam family "Bacterial small subunit ribosomal RNA", at positions 338 to 795 of the family's 1533-position model. The record is from RNAcentral. Lineage: Bacteria; Pseudomonadati; Pseudomonadota; Gammaproteobacteria; Oceanospirillales; Halomonadaceae.
CCUACGGGGGGCGGCAGUGGGGAAUAUUGGACAAUGGGGGCAACCCUGAUCCAGCCAUGCCGCGUGUGUGAAGAAGGCCCUCGGGUUGUAAAGCACUUUCAGUGAGGAAGAACGCCUGGUGGUUAAUACCCAUCAGGAAAGACAUCACUCACAGAAGAAGCACCGGCUAACUCCGUGCCAGCAGCCGCGGUAAUACGGAGGGUGCGAGCGUUAAUCGGAAUUACUGGGCGUAAAGCGCGUGUAGGUGGCUUGAUAAGCCGGUUGUGAAAGCCCCGGGCUCAACCUGGGAACGGCAUCCGGAACUGUCAAGCUAGAGUGCAGGAGAGGAAGGUAGAAUUCCCGGUGUAGCGGUGAAAUGCGUAGAGAUCGGGAGGAAUACCAGUGGCGAAGGCGGCCUUCUGAACUGACACUGACACUGAGGUGCGAAAGCGUGGGUAGCAAACAGGAUUAGAUACCCUGGUAGUC